Molecule: ribosomal RNA, 470 nt
Filed under: uncultured bacterium
Lineage: Bacteria
Description: bacterial SSU rRNA
Rfam family: Bacterial small subunit ribosomal RNA
Source: RNAcentral
ACUCCUACGGGAGGCAGCAGUGGGGAAUUUUGGACAAUGGGCGAAAGCCUGAUCCAGCAAUGCCGCGUGAGUGAAGAAGGCCUUCGGGUUGUAAAGCUCUUUGUCAGGGAAGAAACGGUGAGGGCUAAUAUCCCUUGCUAAUGACGGUACCUGAAGAAUAAGCACCGGCUAACUACGUGCCAGCAGCCGCGGUAAUACGUAGGGUGCAAGCGUUAAUCGGAAUUACUGGGCGUAAAGCGUGCGCAGGCGGUUUGUAAGUCUGAUGUGAAAUCCCCCGGGCUCAACCUGGGAAUUGCAUUGGAGACUGCAAGGCUAGAAUCUGGCAGAGGGGUAGAAUUCCACGUGUAGCAGUGAAAUGCGUAGAUAUGUGGAGGAACACCGAUGGCGAAGGCAGCCCCCUGGGUCAAGAUUGACGCUCAUGCACGAAAGCGUGGGAGCAAACAGGAUUAGAUACCCCUGGUAGCGACUGA